UGGUUUUAAACUGAGAUAGGGGAGGUUUAGGGUAGAUAUUAGGAGGAAGUUUUUCACUCAGAGGGUGGUGACACACUGGAACAGGUUGCCCAAGGAGGUUGUGGAUGCCCCAUCCCUGGGAGCAUUCAAGGCCAGGCUGGAUGUGGCUCUGGGCAGCCUGGUCUAGUGGUUGGCGACCCUGCACAUAGCAGGGGGGCUGAAACUUGAUGAUCAUUAUGGUCCUUUUCAACCCAGGCCAUUCUAUGAUAUGUGCUGUGGGGGACAAUUUGUGGCUGAGAUAUGGGGCAGUGCACUGGAGCAAUGCUAUGGGGCAGCACUAUGGCAUGGUAAUCGCUGGGUGAUUCUGUGUGACAACGAUCUGGGGCAGUGCUAUGGCGUGAUACUAUGGGGCGACAGUAUAGGGUUACACUGUGGGUGCAGCAUUAUGGGGUGACAUUAUGGGACAGUACUAUGAAGCAGCGCAAGGGGGGUGAUUCUAUGGGUCGAUGCUAUGGGACAGAACUAUGCGUCCCCCCCAGACUGGGGACUCUGUGGGGAAAUGCUAUGGGGUGAUGCUAUAGGGCAACACUAUGGGGCAGUGCUCUAGGAAGCUGGUAUGAAGUGAUGCUAUGGGUCAGAUCAAUGGGAUGUCACUAUGAGGCAGUGCUAAGGCGUGACAUUACGGGGCAGUGCUAUGAGGUCACAGUAUGGUGCAUUGCUAUGGAGUGAUGCUGUGGGGCAGUGCUGUUGGGUAGUGUUAUUGGAAUUUGUUGUUGGGUGACACUAUGGGGCAGCAGUAUGGGACAGGGAUAGUGCUAUGCGGUGAUGCUAUGGGGCGCUGUUAUGAGGUGAUGCUAUGGGACAGCACUAUAGGGCAGCGCCAUGGAAUGAUGCUGUUAUAAGGUAACACGAUUGGGCAGCGCUAUGGGGUGAUGCUGUGUUUUGACCCUAUGGGGCAGCACUGUGUGGAGAUGCUAUGGGGUGAUGUCAUGGGCCAGAGCUAUCUGGCAAAAGUAUGGGGUGAUGCUAUGGGGCAGCGCUUUGGAGCUGAGGGAAGUUGCGGGGGUGAUGGCCAAAGUGCUCUCCAUCAUCUGUCAGCACUCCUGGUCAGCUGCAGAGGCCCCAGAAGAUGGAGAGUUGCCAACGUGAUCCCAUCUCCAAGAAGGGCUGUAAGGAGGAUCCAGGAACUGCAGGCUGCCAGCCUGAGCCGGGUGCCAGGAAAGGGUAUGGAGCAGAUCGUCCUGAGGAGAUCGCACAGCGUGUGUGGGACAGCCGGGGGAUCAGGAACAGCCAGCGUGGGUUGGUGAAGGGCAGGGCCUGCCUGACCAACCUGAUCUCCUUCUGUGAUGGAGGGACUGCCUGGGGGGUGAGGGAAAGGCUGCUGAUGUGGUCUGCCUCAGCUUCAGCAAAG
This 1390-nucleotide long non-coding RNA is filed under the name Gallus gallus (chicken). RNAcentral's name for it is "lncRNA (ENSGALG00010000967.1)". The record is from RNAcentral. Lineage: Eukaryota; Metazoa; Chordata; Aves; Galliformes; Phasianidae.